UUAAAAAAAAAACUCAUUUUAAGCUUUUAAGUCUCUGAAUGCCGAGCAAUUCUUCGCUCCUGUUUUUCCUCACUGUGGGCUCAUUUUUGACUAUAAUAUAAAGUCCUGCACCUCUGUGGAAACAGCACAACCAUGAAGAAGGAGAGAGAACUCAGAAAUGUUUGUUUUAUAAAAAUUGAGAAACAUGGAAUCAGUAUAAUGAAUGUAUCUUCCAAUAUUUGCUCUUAUGUAUACCAAUUUUGAGCCAUGCUGCAUUUAUGUUAUUGAUGCAGUAUGCUGUAUGUUUUUAACCAUCGCUAGAAGCAGCGAGAACUUAAAACUGUUUGUUGUGCAGUAUAGUAGUUAUAAUUCCAUUUAUUUUUAAUUAGUUAUGAUGCCAUAACUCGUAAAAAAGAAAUAGCAAAAGUUGAUUAUAAUUUGUAUUUGUUUUUCCAAGUUGUAGUGUUAGUAUUACUGAAAAAAAUGUGUUUCUACAGACUACAGAAAUUGGACUUCUCACAUUUUUAAUUUGUCUCCAUACUUGUCUCCUCUCUGUUCUGUGGAAACACUUCCUGCAGUUCAGUCGACAAGUCUCUGAAUUGUUGUCACCUGACUGUUGGUAACAGCUGUCGUGACUUCACAGUUGUGCCAAAAAAUGCAGACUUUUUCUUUUCCUUUUUUUUUUUUUUUUUUAAAUUUUUUUUUACAGAAUUUGGUUAUGGCAAAUCAUUUUAAGUUAGAUAUGGUUCAUUUUUCCUAUAGAACUGCAUGUCACAGAUGAUUAGUUCAAGGAUUACUGAAAAGUUGACAAUUCAGUUGUUUUUGUUCAUUUUUUUACUUUCUGCCUGAUAAAUGGUGUAAAUUUUGCAAUUUAAAAAAAAAGAUGUCAUGCGUGUCAUGCUGCUAGGGUUUGAGGUUUCACUGGGUUCAUCUAUCAGAGUGAUGAAACACUCAGGUUGGAAGUCAUGGAGCUUUACAUCAGGACCACAGCUCAUAGACAUGGUUAAUAUAUCGUGCUGUGAGACCUCAGUCUGGCCUUUGCCGUGGUUGACCGUGCUAUUUUAAUUAACUGCCGAGGGCUUUGGCUUUUCGUCAGUUGUUUUUUGUAGCAUCCAUUCAGAACUCCCUCUGUGUUUCAUCUAGAACAGAGUCAGACAAAAAUAAGCUGUCGAAGGUUAAACCCCCUGCAAAGAGACUGACUUGGCUCAGUUAGCGUUGUUGGCUGCAUUCAGCUCACACCGUUGGGGUUUUGGGUAUCUGCUAACACAGGAAACGAAGAUGUGUCCACUGAGGCGAAGCCUAAAUCAGAAAGAGAAGUUGAAGGUUCCUGGUUUUACUUGAACAGCUGGAGCGUCGAGUUGCCAGACAGCAGCAACCUCUGCAUGUGAAGGUCCAGAACCGAGGAACAAUUCCCUGUGCAAAGCUGGUGGCUUCACCUCCAUCUGAGUGAAGAACUCCACCAUCUGUAUGUCUUUCUGCUUAGUGUGACAUAAAAACAAGUUAAGGGAAAGAGAAAUAGACUUACAUCAUAUCUUUAUAUCACACUGUUUUGUUUCCAUAUGGACUGAGACAUUCAUCUCCAUUGGGAUCUUAUUUGAAUCAUGAUGCUGACAUGAGCCUAAGAGUCCUGUUAGUUUACUGAUGAAACGUUAAGUAAAUCAAACCAAUUUUAGAAGCACUUUCAACGUUCACCCUGAAAGAAUUCUGCUUGAGGUUUGUGGAGACAUUAAGAACAUCUGGUUUCCCUCUCAGGGAGGUUUGUUCUGAAUCACACAAAUUAAAUGGCUGGAAGUAUUUGAGUUCUCCUGUGGUUAGCUGGAUCUUUGUGUUAUUGUUGUAUAACAAAUCCACCACAAAGCAGCGAGAAGAGCGUCAGGCUGCAUCAGGUGAAGAGGCGAAGCUGUGGUUUGGGAUCCAGAAGUUUGCUGGAAAUUUGGUGGGUUUUUUUAUGAUCAUAGUAUCAAGAGUGUUUGUCCUGAAGGUUGGAUGGAUUCCAGCAUCACUGUUAUUACAACAACUAUGAAUGUCUGACCUGAAACUGAUGCCAUAACUGGAACUGCAGUGUAUCCCAUAUCAAAAUUCAGUUUCCAAGCAAUUAGAUUUCUUAAAGAACUGACUCUGCUGCUUCCCAUAUUGUUGGUUGUUAAAAAAAAAAAAAAAGGAACAAAAAUGUUUGCAAGUGUUUCACAAUAGUGAGAACACUGUAACCAGAAACAUGAAACAACUGCAGUGCAAACAUGCGCCGUUUGUCCACCCUACUGGCUUAUUGGGUGAGUGUUUCUGACAUUAUUCUGCUAUUCUUUCAUGUGUACUGAUACCAUUACAACACUGAAACAUUACAUCCAUCCUAUCUGCAGCAGGUCUCUCUGCUCUCGCAGCUGUUUUGGAAGAAGCACUCCGUUGUCAGAUCUGGUCUCCUGUUUGACUGGCAGUAAUAAUCCUGCUCACAUCUGCAAGCCUACAGUGUUUUCAUCCAUUUGUAGUACAAGAAGCUACAACCUCUUGCG
Molecule: long non-coding RNA, 2486 nt
Organism: Amphiprion ocellaris (clown anemonefish)
Lineage: Eukaryota; Metazoa; Chordata; Actinopteri; Pomacentridae
Source: Ensembl